GAGUAACACGUAGGUAACCUGCCCAGAAGCGGGGGACAACAUUUGGAAACAGAUGCUAAUACCGCAUAACAACGUUGUUCGCAUGAACAACGCUUAAAACAUGGCUUCUCGCUAUCACUUCUGGAUGGACCUGCGGUGCAUUAGCUUGUUGGUGGGGUAACGGCCUACCAAGGCGAUGAUGCAUAGCCGAGUUGAGAGACUGAUCGGCCACAAUGGGACUGAGACACGGCCCAUACUCCUACGGGAGGCAGCAGUAGGGAAUCUUCCACAAUGGGCGCAAGCCUGAUGGAGCAACACCGCGUGAGUGAAGAAGGGUUUCGGCUCGUAAAGCUCUGUUGUUAAAGAAGAACACGUAUGAGAGUAACUGUUCAUACGUUGACGGUAUUUAACCAGAAAGUCACGGCUAACUACGUGCCAGCAGCCGCGGUAAUACGUAGGUGGCAAGCGUUAUCCGGAUUUAUUGGGCGUAAAGAGAGUGCAGGCGGUUUUCUAAGUCUGAUGUGAAAGCCUUCGGCUUAACCGGAGAAGUGCAUCGGAAACUGGAUAACUUGAGUGCAGAAGAGGGUAGUGGAACUCCAUGUGUAGCGGUGGAAUGCGUAGAUAUAUGGAAGAACACCCAGAUGGCGAAAGCGGCUACCUGGUCUGCAACUGACGCUGAGACUCGAAAGCAUGGGUAGCGAACACGAUUAGAUACCGUGGUAGUCCAUGCCGUAAACGAUGAGUGCUAGGUGUUGGAGGGUUUCCGCCCUUCAGUGCCGGAGAUAUCGCAUUAAGCACUCCGCCUGGGGAGUACGACCGCAAGGUUGAAACUCAAAGGAAUUGACGGGGGCCCGCACAAGCGGUGGAGCAUGUGGUUUAAUUUGAAGCUACGCGAAGAACCUUACCAGGUCUUGACAUCUUGCGCCAACCCUAGAGAUAGGGCGUUUCCUUCGGGAACGCAAUGACAGGUGGUGCAUGGUGGUCGUCAGCUCGUGUCGUGAGAUGUUGGGUUAAGUCCCGCAACGAGCGCAACCCUUGUUAUUAGUUGCCAGCAUUAAGUUGGGCACUCUAGUGAGACUGCCGGUGACAAACCGGAGGAAGGUGGGGACGACGUCAGAUCAUCAUGCCCCUUAUGACCUGGUCUACACACGUGCUACAAUGGACGGUACAACGAGUCGCGAACUCGCGAGGGCAAGCAAAUCUCUUAAAACCGUUCUCAGUUCGGAAUGCAGGCUGCAACUCGCCUGCACGAAGUCGGAAUCGCUUGUAAUCGCGG
RNAcentral lists this ribosomal RNA (1255 nucleotides) under Limosilactobacillus fermentum. RNAcentral's name for it is "bacterial SSU rRNA". It matches the Rfam family "Bacterial small subunit ribosomal RNA", at positions 108 to 1347 of the family's 1533-position model. The record is from RNAcentral. Lineage: Bacteria; Bacillati; Bacillota; Bacilli; Lactobacillales; Lactobacillaceae.